CGUUUUUAUCCUCUUGAUGCUUAAGGAGUGAAGUUGAAGUUUUAAAGUGAUGUUGCAUGAAGAGUUUAGAAGAGUUCAUGUUGUUUAGGUGGACUCGUUUCCUCUCUGGUUGUGUGCAUAGUGAGUUGGAUUUGAUGACGUUGAUGUUGACUGAGGUGCAUUAAGACGAACAGAUCCAUCUUUAACAGAAGAACCAGGGUGCUGUGUAUUACCUGGAAGGAGUGAUACCUUUCAGCAAUCAGUCAAAGGAAGACCUGCUUCAUGUGAGUACCUCAUUACUGAAUCCCUGAACAUGGAUACCUUGGUGAAGUUGUUGGCUUGUGGUUGUCUACUUGUCUUCUAUUUUCAUUGGUGCUCUUACCAAUGUUAACCUCAAACUGGCAGUACUUUAUGAGAAGUAUAACCUUCACAGAACACCCUAUAAAGGCACAGUUCAUCUGAAUACAAGAUGAAUUUAUUUUCUCAGUGGCCUUCUCAUAGAAAAUAAUUACACAUAAAUUAUUCAUAAAAGAGAACACUGGUCAUGUA
Long non-coding RNA from Sebastes umbrosus (honeycomb rockfish), 528 nucleotides. RefSeq lists it as uncharacterized. Lineage: Eukaryota; Metazoa; Chordata; Actinopteri; Perciformes; Sebastidae. The transcript is spliced from 3 exons. The record is from RefSeq and is a predicted model, not a curated record.